Molecule: long non-coding RNA, 763 nt
Organism: Cyprinus carpio (common carp)
Lineage: Eukaryota; Metazoa; Chordata; Actinopteri; Cypriniformes; Cyprinidae
Exons: 3
Source: RefSeq, a predicted model, not a curated record
AGAGAAGAAGUCACAAACAGAGCAGGAAUCAAUGAAUGAAUGAACUGGGUUCAUAUAAACUAUGAUCUGAAUAUCUGAGAAAAACAUGUGAGAAAGUAUAAAAUUAAAGAUAAAAAUGCAAAGAACUUGGUAAACCACCAACAAAAUCCACAUCUUCUCUUACUUCAACUCAAGUCUAUUUAAAACUCAUUUUCAAUGACGGUACACCUGAAGGACUCUCUGUUGGUGUAUUUUCCACAGAGGUAAAAGGUUUCGUCUAGCGUACGGGACACUUCCUCAUUUGCCUCAUCAUCUGAGCUGAGAUCCUCCAAGCAGACGUGCAACUGAGCAAGCCUCUGACGAAGAAUCACUCACGAUGAAGACGUCAUGGUGGACUUACUAUCAGAGCGCACACGUGGAACAUCAAAUGUGUGCGACAUCUUUUUGCUGUUCUCCCAAAACAACUGAUCGUCUGAAGCCUGAUUCAUCCAAUCCAAGAGAUCAGCUGAAAUCACAAAAGUGCUUGAGCCUAGACGACGAGAAAAGCUGAGAGAAAGAGAAGCAGAAGGAGGUGGUAUCAGGGACUAUCGGUCACCGUGCUGGAUUUGGUGUCUCAUGUACUCUGCCUCCAUGACACCCAGGAUACUUUCUGCAUUAUAAAUGCCUUUGCCCGCGUGGCUGCAUUUUGCUGUAUAAGGAUUUACUUAUUGUUUCGGUAAUGAUAGAGUCAAGUUUACAAAUAGAUUGUGAGAUUCAAUACACAGCCAACAAUUUUUUAUCCAGU